CUACGUGCCAGCAGCCGCGGUAAUACGUAGGUCCCGAGCGUUGUCCGGAUUUAUUGGGCGUAAAGCGAGCGCAGGCGGUUAGAUAAGUCUGAAGUUAAAGGCUGUGGCUUAACCAUAGUACGCUUUGGAAACUGUUUAACUUGAGUGCAAGAGGGGAGAGUGGAAUUCCAUGUGUAGCGGUGAAAUGCGUAGAUAUAUGGAGGAACACCGGUGGCGAAAGCGGCUCUCUGGCUUGUAACUGACGCUGAGGCUCGAAAGCGUGGGGAGCAAACAGGAUUAGAUACCCUGGUAGUCCACGCCGUAAACGAUGAGUGCUAGGUGUUAGACCCUUUCCGGGGUUUAGUGCCGCAGCUAACGCAUUAAGCACUCCGCCUGGGGAGUACGACCGCAAGGUUGAAACUCAAAGGAAUUGACGGGGGCCCGCACAAGCGGUGGAGCAUGUGGUUUAAUUCGAUGCAACGCGAAGAACCUUACCUACUCUUGACAUCCAGA
RNAcentral lists this ribosomal RNA (492 nucleotides) under uncultured bacterium. Its description in RNAcentral is "bacterial SSU rRNA". It matches the Rfam family "Bacterial small subunit ribosomal RNA", at positions 501 to 992 of the family's 1533-position model. The record is from RNAcentral.